This 583-nucleotide unclassified non-coding RNA is filed under the name Hevea brasiliensis (rubber tree). The record is from RNAcentral. Lineage: Eukaryota; Viridiplantae; Streptophyta; Magnoliopsida; Malpighiales; Euphorbiaceae.
GAAAAAAAAAAAAAAAAAAGGACAAUGGUUGUAGGAUAGCCUCCCUUUUUUCACUUUCUUCUUAGCAUGUGAUACAUUAGAAUUUGCAGAUCAAAUCCAUUGACUGUAGCAGGUGUCAUUGUUACAUGCACAUGGGAAGUUGAUGCAUGAGUCCUGCUCUUCUCCUUUCAAACCCUCUAAAUGUGUGUUGAUGCACGUCUGUAUUUAUAUAUACUUAUGUACUUAUGAAAAAACCUCUGCUUCUUUCAAAGCCUCUAAAUGUGUCAUAUAUGUAUUUAUAUAUACUUGUAUACUUAUGAAAUAACUGUUUUUCAAUGCGUGUUCAUAUUGAUAUAGCAUGAUACUAUCUAAUUAUCCUGUUUUGCUUGGUUUAGAAUGUGGGUAGUUUCAAUUGCCUUCUGUUAAUAUUAUUUAUGAUGAAGAGUGCUUUUAUCAUAAGUUAUUUGAAAAGUUGGAUUGUAACCCCGAACUUUUAUUAUGACCUAUUUGACUAUUAUAGUUUUUUUUUUUUCACUAAUAAAUUCUUGGUUAACAAAUUCUCACUGUGUUUCUUACAUGUGUAUUAGCACAACCAAAAUAUUGG